Molecule: ribosomal RNA, 484 nt
Filed under: uncultured bacterium
Lineage: Bacteria
Description: partial 16S ribosomal RNA
Rfam family: Bacterial small subunit ribosomal RNA
Source: RNAcentral
AUUGAACGCUGGCGGCAUGCUUUACACAUGCAAGUCGAACGGCAGCGCGGGCUUCGGCCUGUCGGCGAGUGGCGAACGGGUGAGUAAUACAUCGGAACGUGCCCAGUAGUGGGGGAUAGCUCGGCGAAAGCCGGAUUAAUACCGCAUACGACCUGAGGGUGAAAGCGGGGGAUCUUCGGACCUCGCGCUAUUGGAGCGGCCGAUGGCAGAUUAGCUAGUUGGUGGGGUAAAGGCCUACCAAGGCGACGAUCUGUAGCUGGUCUGAGAGGACGACCAGCCACACUGGGACUGAGACUCGGCCCAGACUCCUACGGGAGGCAGCAGUGGGGAAUUUUGGACAAUGGGCGAAAGCCUGAUCCAGCAAUGCCGCGUGUGUGAUGAAGGCCUUCGGGUUGUAAAGCACUUUUGGCGGGAACGAAAAGGACUGUGCCAAUACCACGGUUCGAUGACGGUACCCGCAGAAUAAGCACCGGCUAACUACGUG